RNAcentral lists this ribosomal RNA (234 nucleotides) under uncultured bacterium. RNAcentral's name for it is "partial 16S ribosomal RNA". It matches the Rfam family "Bacterial small subunit ribosomal RNA", at positions 1269 to 1500 of the family's 1533-position model. The record is from RNAcentral.
AAAUACUCGAAAACCGGUACCCACGUUCGGACUGCAGUCUGCAACUCGAGUGCAUGAAGCUGGAAUCGCUAGUAAUCGCGGAUCAGAAUGCCGCGGUGAAUACGUUCCCGGGUCUUGUACACACCGCCCGUCACACCAUGGGAGUCGGGAAUGCCCGAAGCCGGUGGCCCAAUCGAGAGAAGGGAGCCGUCGAAGGCAGGCCGGAUGACUGGGGUGAAGUCGUAACAAGGUAUC